Molecule: transfer RNA, 69 nt
Filed under: Ochthebius gruwelli
Lineage: Eukaryota; Metazoa; Arthropoda; Insecta; Coleoptera; Hydraenidae
Description: transfer RNA-Leu
Source: RNAcentral
UAUUGUUAUUUUGGCAGAUUAGUGCAUUAAAUUUAGAAUUUAAUUAUGUAAUAAUAUUACAAAUAAUAC